This is an RNA transcript of Eptesicus fuscus (big brown bat), 754 nucleotides long. RefSeq lists it as uncharacterized. The record is from RefSeq and is a predicted model, not a curated record. The transcript has 5 exons. Lineage: Eukaryota; Metazoa; Chordata; Mammalia; Chiroptera; Vespertilionidae.
CAUGAGGCUCUUCCACAUCCUGCUGCUGCCUCUCUGCCUGCUCUUCGCCCAGGUGGGCCCAGACUCAGAGUGUCCGGAUGCCGCAUUGUCAACGUUCAGAUGGACUUGCCCUCUAUCAAGUCUCGGGGUGAUUGGGAGCGUCCCAUGCAAAGCACAGAGAACACCAGUGCUCCCCGCGAUGCAGGAGCAGUGGUCUCACGCAGCGCUCUGAUGGAAGCACCAGCUGAGCCCUGCCGGGUGGCCUGUGGAUUGGAGCACCAUCCUGUGCACCAAAAGCCUCCAGAGCCGCCCCAUGCACUCGGGACAAUCUAAACAGGACUGAGUGACAGCUGUCCCGAGCUUAACCAGAAGCGCUGCGGACAGUCCGGCCAUGGAGGCCUCUGGGAGAGCGGGCUGCGUGGGCUGCGCCUGCAGAGGAGGCUGGGAUCUUGGGUGCAUCCCGUGUGCUCUGCAGGGUUGCUGCUUUGCAGGAGGGGCUUGUCUUUGGUUUAGCCACAGUGGUCACCAACCUCAGACGGAGGACAUAGACCUCCGAUGGAGGACAUAGACCUCAGACAGAGGACAAAGACCUCAGAUGGUGGGCACAGACCUCAGGCAGCUGGCAUAAACCUCAGACGGAGGGCACAGAACUCAGAUGGAGGGCAUAAACCUCAGACAAAAGGCACAGGCUUUUGCAUGAGCAGUCCCAGAGGUGCUGGCCUCCUCGCGAGUCUGUUACACAGGAGUCCAGAAUACAUAUGUGCCAAAAAGGGGG